UCGGGCUCCCUCCAGGUGGGGCUCCCUCCAGGUGGGGCUCCCUCCAGGUGCAGCUCCCUGCAGAUGAUGAUGAUUCGAUUCAAAGACACAUGGGCAGCCUGACCAAAACAAGACAAAGAGCUGUUAACAUGUAUGCUACACCACGCUGCCUCACCUGCUUCCUUCAACAUUUGGUGUUUCCUCGCUCUGAACUCUGAAGAGUAGGAUCUGUGCUGCAGCUGGAAGGAUUUUCUUCAGAUUAAAGUUUACUUGUUGGCUGUUUUAGUUUUCUUUCAGUCAUAGUUUGUUUUUAUCUUUCAGCUAUAGUUUUAGUUUAGUCUGUUUGCUUUAAUUUUCAUUUGCAGUUUUCUCUUAACACACUUUGAUAACACAAUUUAAUAAUUUUAAAGUCUUAAUUUGUUUCAUGUUUGUGUUGUCAGCAUCUUCAAUUCCUAAUGGAUGUUUUGUUGUAGUUGUUUCCUUCUUUGUUAAUCAGCUGUGAUAUUUGUUUUCAUUUGAAGUUUGGAUAUUUUAUUAUAACAUUUGAUAAAUUUCCAUUAGGAAACAUGCUUACUGGGGAGAUAACUACAGACAAGUUUCCUCAGAACAAUGAAACCUGUAAGCUACUAUAAAUAAAACACACCUGGCAGAUAACAGAACAUAAUUACAGAAGUCACUGAUGCAGAAUGGACAGAGCAGUAGUUUUAUUACAAUAAAAUAUUGAACAG
This is a non-coding RNA of Labrus bergylta (ballan wrasse), 707 nucleotides long. Lineage: Eukaryota; Metazoa; Chordata; Actinopteri; Labriformes; Labridae. The record is from RefSeq and is a predicted model, not a curated record.